CACUCCUGCGGGAGGCAGCAGUGGGGAAUAUUGGACAAUGGGCGCAAGCCUGAUCCAGCCAUGCCGCGUGAGUGAUGAAGGCCCUAGGGUUGUAAAGCUCUUUCACCGGUGAAGAUAAUGACGGUAACCGGAGAAGAAGCCCCGGCUAACUUCGUGCCAGCAGCCGCGGUAAUACGAAGGGGGCUAGCGUUGUUCGGAUUUACUGGGCGUAAAGCGCACGUAGGCGGACUAUUAAGUCAGGGGUGAAAUCCCGGGGCUCAACCCCGGAACUGCCUUUGAUACUGGUAGUCUUGAGUUCGAGAGAGGUGAGUGGAAUUCCGAGUGUAGAGGUGAAAUUCGUAGAUAUUCGGAGGAACACCAGUGGCGAAGGCGGCUCACUGGCUCGAUACUGACGCUGAGGUGCGAAAGCGUGGGGAGCAAACAGGAUUAGAAACCCCGUGUAGUCC
RNAcentral lists this ribosomal RNA (446 nucleotides) under uncultured organism. RNAcentral describes it as "partial 16S ribosomal RNA". It matches the Rfam family "Bacterial small subunit ribosomal RNA", at positions 334 to 796 of the family's 1533-position model. The record is from RNAcentral.